UGGAAGGGAGAGAUAUCUUGUAAACAUGCAAAUAAAUCAAUAAACAAGAUAAUUUCAAAUAGAAGUAACAGCUCCAAAGACAAAGUAAGUGAUGGAGGUGGAGGAGGCUCCUGGUGGACAGGAUUUUCCUGAUUCUAGUUCCAUGUUUCUCGUUUUUUUUUUUUUUCUUGAUUACUGAGACAGACAGAUGUUCAGUGUAGUCUAGUGAAAAGCUUCUGGAUGGAGUCACGCCAAGUGCUGAUAUUUACCUCCAGGAAGAGAUUCUGGAUUGAAAGGGAAAAUUUACCUCAAUUUCUAUCUAUUUUAUUUUUUUGAGGCGGAGUCUCACUUUGUCACCCAGGCUGGAGUGCAGUGGCGCAAUCAUGGCUCACUGCAGCCUUGGCUCAAGCAAUCCUUCUGUCUCACCUUCUUGAGUAGCUGGGACUACAGGUGUGCACCAGUAUGCUAGGCUAAUGUUUUGACUUUUUUAUAGAGAUGGGCAGCAAUUUGGACACCUGGAGACAAUGAGAGGGCACUAGAUACCCAAGAGUAAUAGCUAUCAAACUCUAGCAUGUAUCAGAAUUAAACAUAAUAAUUAAUUAAGUUCCGUAGUAUAAUAAGUGAUAUGGGAAAGGGAGAAGUGGGCAAGGAGGAUCAUGAGUGUCUCAGGUUGGGGUGAGUUACUUUGAAUACAAGGAUCAAGGCAGGCCUCAUGACAUGGGUGACAGUUGAAGAGUGAUGGAGUUAGCUCUACAGAUUCCUGGAGGGAGGUGUUUCAGGCAGAGGAAACAGGCAGUUCCAAAGUGAGGGUACAGCUGGCAUGUUCGGGAAUGGAAGGCGGCCAGCGUGGCUGGAGCAGAGCAGAUGAGAGGGAGAGAAGUCAGAGAUAAAGCCAGAGGGGCAAGGCUGAGGAUCAGAUCAUGCGGGCCUUAGGGCCACGCUGGGCUUUGCUUCUACUCUGACAGAGUGGGGUAGCCCUACAAGGCCUUCAGCAGCCGAGAUCUGAUCUGACUUCUGUUUUCAAAGGACUUCUCCGAGUGCUGUAGACUAAAAUUCAAGUUGAAAGCCCCUCACUGACUAAGUGGACCCCCUCUUGCUCAAGAGGACCCCAGAGAAAACUAAAAUCUUAAUUCCUGGCCACGACAGGAUGAGAGGUCGAACACACAUUAUUAUACCCCCUCUUUUGUGAAAUUUAGGUAUCACAACUGAUUGACAUUAAUGUUAAAGCAGAGGCAAUAAGACUAAUAAAAUGGGCUGGGCACAGUACCUCACACCUGUAAUCCCAGCACUUUGGGAGGCCAAGACGGGUGGAUCACUUGAGGUCAGGAGUUCGAGACCAGCCUGAGCAACAUGGCAAAACCCUGUCUCUACUAAAAAUACAAAAAUUAGCCUGGCGUGCUGAU
This 1382-nucleotide long non-coding RNA is filed under the name Homo sapiens (human). RNAcentral describes it as "non-protein coding lnc-SSUH2-9:1". The record is from RNAcentral. Lineage: Eukaryota; Metazoa; Chordata; Mammalia; Primates; Hominidae.